Molecule: ribosomal RNA, 468 nt
Filed under: uncultured bacterium
Lineage: Bacteria
Description: partial 16S ribosomal RNA
Rfam family: Bacterial small subunit ribosomal RNA
Source: RNAcentral
GACGAACGCUGGCGGCGUGCUUAACACAUGCAAGUCGAACGGAAAGGCCCUGCUUUUGUGGGGUGCUCGAGUGGCGAACGGGUGAGUAACACGUGAGUAACCUGUCCUUGACUUUGGGAUAACUUCAUGAAACUGGGGCUAAUACCGGAUAGGAGCUCUUGCCGCAAGGGGGGGGUUGGAAAGUUUCGGUGGUUGGGGAUGGACUCGCGGCUUAUCAGCUUGUUGGUGGGGUAGUGGCUUACCAAGGCUUUGACGGGUAGCCGGCCUGAGAGGGUGACCGGCCACGUUGGGACUGAAAUACGGCCCAGACUCCUACGGGAGGCAGCAGUGGAGAAUAUUGCACAGUGGGCGGAAGCCUGGUGCAGCAACGCCGCGUGCGGGAUAACGGCCUUCGGGUUGUAAACCGCUUUCGCCUGUGACGAAGCGUGAGUGACGGUAAUGGGUAAAGAAGCACCGGCUAACUACGUG